Molecule: ribosomal RNA, 1680 nt
Filed under: human gut metagenome
Description: bacterial LSU rRNA
Rfam family: Bacterial large subunit ribosomal RNA
Source: RNAcentral
AGGUAGACCGUAAGGACUGCUGGAGCGCUUAGAAGUGAGAAUGCCGGUGUGAGUAACGAAAAUUGGGUGAGAAUCCCAUUCACCGUUUGACUAAGGGUUCCUGGGUAAAGUUCGUCUUCCCAGGGUAAGUCAGGACCUAAGAUGAGGCUGAAAAGCGUAGUCGAUGGACAACAGGUUGAUAUUCCUGUACCACCUAUAUGACUGAAGGAGUGACGGAGAAAGCUAGUGAGAGCCAGUUAAUGGAUUCUGGUCUAAGUGCGUAGGCUAGUAUGUUGGCAAAUCCGCAAUACUAUAACAGCUGAAACAUGAUGGGGAAGAGAGUCUUCGGACAAUCGAACUUUCAUGAUGCUAUGCUUCCAAGAAAAGCUUCUAGGGUUAAUCGUAUAGGUGCCUGUACCGACAACCGACACAGGUGGUCAAGGAGAGUAUCCUAAGGUGAGCGAGAGAACUAUGGUUAAGGAACUCGGCAAAAUGACCCCGUAACUUCGGGAGAAGGGGUGGUCUAGCGAUAGACCCGCAGUGAAUAGGCCCAGGCAACUGUUUACCAAAAACACAGGUCUCUGCUAACACGUAAGUGGAUGUAUAGGGGCUGACGCCUGCCCAGUGCUGGAAGGUUAAAGAGAUUAGUUAGUAUGACGUAAGUCGAUAAUACGAAGCUUUGAACUGAAGCCCCAGUGAACGGCGGCCGUAACUAUAACGGUCCUAAGGUAGCGAAAUUCCUUGUCAGGUAAGUUCUGACCCGCACGAAAGGCGUAAUGAUUUGGGCACUGUCUCAACAGCCCGCCCGGCGAAAUUGUAGUACCGGUGAAGAUGCCGGUUACCCGCAACUAGACGGAAAGACCCCAUGGAGCUUUACUGCAGCUUAAUACUGGAAAUCGGUAAUUCAUGUACAGGAUAGGUGGGAGACGGAGAAGCAUGGUCGUCAGGUCAUGUGGAGUCGCCCUUGGGAUACCACUCUUGGAUUGCUGGUUUUCUAACCUGCGGCCGUGAAUCCGGUCGGGGGACACUGUUAGGCGGGCAGUUUGACUGGGGCGGUCGCCUCCGAAAAGGUAACGGAGGCGCUCAAAGGUUGGCUCAGCACGGACGGAAACCGUGCCUCUGAGUGUAAACGCAAAAGCCAGCCUAACUGCGAGGAUGACGGUCCGAGCAGUAACGAAAGUUGGAGUUAGUGAUCCGGCGGUAUGUGAAUGGAAAUGCCGUCGCUCAACGGAUAAAAGCUACCCUGGGGAUAACAGGCUGAUCUCCCCCAAGAGUCCACAUCGACGGGGAGGUUUGGCACCUCGAUGUCGGCUCAUCACAUCCUGGGGCUGUAUUCGGUCCCAAGGGUUCGGCUGUUCGCCGAUUAAAGUGGUACGCGAGCUGGGUUCAGAACGUCGCGAGACAGUUCGGUCCCUAUCUGUCGUGGGCGCAGGAUAUUUGAGGAGCUCUGUCCUUAGUACGAGAGGACCGGGAUGGACGUACCUCUGGUGCACCAGUUGUCAUGCCAAUGGCACGGCUGGGCAGCUACGUACGGAACGGAUAAACGCUGAAAGCAUCUAAGCGUGAAGCCGACUCCAAGAUUAGAUAUCCCAUUGCAUAAGCAAGUAAGACCCCUUGAGGACUACGAGGUUGAUAGGCUGCGUGUGUAAGUGUCGUGAGGCAUUUAGCUUGGCAGUACUAAUAGGUCGAGGGCUUGACCAC